RNAcentral lists this ribosomal RNA (448 nucleotides) under uncultured organism. Its description in RNAcentral is "partial 16S ribosomal RNA". It matches the Rfam family "Bacterial small subunit ribosomal RNA", at positions 334 to 798 of the family's 1533-position model. The record is from RNAcentral.
CACUCCUGCGGGAGGCAGCAGUGGGGAAUAUUGGACAAUGGGCGCAAGCCUGAUCCAGCCAUGCCGCGUGAGUGAUGAAGGCCCUAGGGUUGUAAAGCUCUUUCACCGGUGAAGAUAAUGACGGUAACCGGAGAAGAAGCCCCGGCUAACUUCGUGCCAGCAGCCGCGGUAAUACGAAGGGGGCUAGCGUUGUUCGGAUUUACUGGGCGUAAAGCGCACGUAGGCGGACUAUUAAGUCAGGGGUGAAAUCCCGGGGCUCAACCCCGGAACUGCCUUUGAUACUGGUAGUCUUGAGUUCGAGAGAGGUGAGUGGAAUUCCGAGUGUAGAGGUGAAAUUCGUAGAUAUUCGGAGGAACACCAGUGGCGAAGGCGGCUCACUGGCUCGAUACUGACGCUGAGGUGCGAAAGCGUGGGGAGCAAACAGGAUUAGAUACCCGGGUAGUCCCAU